CCCUGUGAUGAUCCCUUAGCUGAAAUUAGCUUCUUUGAUGAAGUGCUGGAGUCCUGUGGGGCUCGGCUGAAUAUUUCAGUGCUGGGAAUGUAGCUCUUCUUGAGGAGAUGGAGUCAUGAGGUGAAAACUGAAUUGCAAGGUACAGUACCAGAUCUCCUAAGAUUUCUUUGAUAGGUAGGAAAGGAAGAGUGUAGGGAAAGCAUUGAAUAGAUUAGUUGCUUCAGAUAGACAUUGAUUUUCUCAAAAUCUAUAGCAACAUUGUUGGCAGACCAAAUUAAUAUAGAGAUUGUGGCAAUGGGAAUCCUACUCUUGGUGCUUAUUAAAAAUAUAGUCAAUCUGAUCAUAAGUUUUCCUAUUUCUAGACCAGUGCUUCUAAAAGUAUGGACCCUGGAUCACCAGUAGUCCACAAGUCCAUCAGCGGGACAACAGAUUUUGAGAGAGCAAGGAGAAUGAGGUAUUGGGAGGCACCCCAUUGGAGGAUCUCUUAAUAAAAGUGGUCCACAGAUAGAAAAGUUUGGAGACUCUCUGCUCUAAUUCUUCAUGUGAUAGCAAUAUUAUUACUCUUCUCUACUGCAGUGGUUUUCAGUCAGGGGUAUGCAUAACCCUGGGGAUAUGCAGAGAUCUUCCAUGGGGGACAUCAGCUCAUCUAGAUAUUUGCUUAGUUUUACAACAGGCUACAUAAAAAGCACUAGCGAAGUCCGUACAAACUAAAAUUUCAUACAGACAAUGACUGGUUUAUACUGCUCGAUAUACUAUACCUGAAAUGUAAGUACAAUAUUUAUAGUCCAAUUGAUUUAUUUAUAAUUAUAUGGUAAAAAUGAGAAAGUAGGCAAUUUCCGUAAUAGUGUGCGGUGACACUUUUGAUCUGAUCUUUAGAGCUGAUUUUGUAAGCAAGUAGUUUUUAAGUGAGGUGAAACUUGGGGUACACAAGACAAAUCAGACUCCUGAAAGGGGAUCAGUAGUCUGAAAAGGUUGAGAACCACAGCUCUACAGCAUAGUUAUGAUCCUUCUCACUGAAGGCUUUCUGUGAUACUCUUAUUUAUUAAAUGCUGACCACAUGGGUCAGUGCUGUACACACGUAUUUUGAUGUUUAACUCCACUUACUUGGCCCAACUACAAUCUUUUAUGUAAAUGUCACUACUUUGAAGCUGCAAGUGGUGAAAACAUUUUCUUGAACUUAUGAUUAUUAACUCAUUUUGGGCACAACAUGGUGCCAGCAUGUCAAAGUUGCAAAAGCAUCAACUUAGGUGGUUUAGCGGUGGGCCCCAGAAGAUAAACGUGGGUUUAUUGUGCAUUCUCACAAAAUAAGCUAAAUGUCUGGAUACAGUAUAUGCUCCCUAGUGAAAUGGAAUUCAGCACCUCUGUGCAGGGUUUUUUUCCCCCUAGCCAUGGGCUCAGUGAAGAACAUGAAGCACUCGUAUGAAUAUAUUUGUAAUGAUUAGCUGAACACACGCAUGCAUCUUGCAGUUAAGACACAGAACUUAUAAAGCAGAAAAGUAGAAACUACACCACUAAAGUUAUUUCCCCUCCUUCUACAUCCCCUAUGAAGAAUGCAGGAGGUUAGAAUAACACAACUACAAUAAACAUUAGAGAUGAAAAAGCUUUUCCUUCCUCCCUUGCCCCACAUGAGGUACCGCAGGCUCAAAAAAAUAUAAAAUAUACCAGGCAAACAAUCUCAUCCCUCAGAUUGCUGCGGGCUAGAAAAAUAAUAUUACAUCAAGUAUGCAAACUGGCCCUGCUGACGGGGGUAUCCAGGGCUAGAAAAAUAGAAUUGCACCAUACAGUAGAAGCAAUCUCUCAAGCACACUGUAAAAUGCGGAUUAAAUAUAAGUUGGUGUCUCAUACUGGGAGGCAAAUAGGGAAAUUGGGAAGGGAAAGUCAG
Long non-coding RNA from Terrapene triunguis (Three-toed box turtle), 1882 nucleotides. RefSeq lists it as uncharacterized. The transcript has 2 exons. Lineage: Eukaryota; Metazoa; Chordata; Testudines; Emydidae. The record is from RefSeq and is a predicted model, not a curated record.